RNAcentral lists this ribosomal RNA (691 nucleotides) under uncultured Bacteroides sp. Its description in RNAcentral is "bacterial SSU rRNA". It matches the Rfam family "Bacterial small subunit ribosomal RNA", at positions 32 to 715 of the family's 1533-position model. The record is from RNAcentral. Lineage: Bacteria; Pseudomonadati; Bacteroidota; Bacteroidia; Bacteroidales; Bacteroidaceae.
AACGCUAGCUACAGGCUUAACACAUGCAAGCCGAGGGGCAGCAUGGUUGUAGCAAUACAACCGAUGGCGACCGGCGCACGGGUGAGUAACACGUAUCCAACCUGUCCUUUACUCGGGGAUAGCCUUUCGAAAGAAAGAUUAAUACCCGAUGGCAUUAGGUUUCCGCAUGGAGACCUUCUUAAAGAUUUAUCGGUAAAGGAUGGGGAUGCGUUCCAUUAGGCAGUUGGCGGGGUAACGGCCCACCAAACCGACGAUGGAUAGGGGUUCUGAGAGGAAGGUCCCCCACAUUGGAACUGAGACACGGUCCAAACUCCUACGGGAGGCAGCAGUGAGGAAUAUUGGUCAAUGGACGGAAGUCUGAACCAGCCAAGUAGCGUGAAGGAAGACUGCCCUAUGGGUUUUAAACUUCUUUUAUAAGGGAAUAAAGUCGUCCACGUGUGGAUGUUUGUAUGUACCUUAUGAAUAAGCAUCGGCUAACUCCGUGCCAGCAGCCGCGGUAAUACGGAGGAUGCGAGCGUUAUCCGGAUUUAUUGGGUUUAAAGGGUGCGUAGGCCGUGUUUUAAGUCAGCGGUGAAAAGUUGCAGCUCAACUGUAACCGUGCCGUUAUACUGAGACACUUGAGUGUAGACAAGGCAGGCGGAACUCGUAGUGUAGCGGUGAAAUGCUUAGAUAUCACGAAGAACUCCGAUUG